This 442-nucleotide ribosomal RNA is filed under the name uncultured bacterium. Its description in RNAcentral is "partial 16S ribosomal RNA". It matches the Rfam family "Bacterial small subunit ribosomal RNA", at positions 338 to 795 of the family's 1533-position model. The record is from RNAcentral.
CCUACGGGCGGCAGCAGUGGGGAAUAUUGGGCAAUGGGCGCAAGCCUGACCCAGCAACGCCGCGUGAAGGAAGAAGGCUUUCGGGUUGUAAACUUCUUUUGACAGGGAAGAGUAGAAGACGGUACCUGUCGAAUAAGCCACGGCUAACUACGUUCCAGCAGCCGCGGUAAUACGUAGGUGGCAAGAGUUGUCCGGAUUUAAUGGCUGUAAAGGGCGGGUAGCCGGGUUGACAAGUCAGAUGUGAAAUCCUUCGGCUUAACCGAAGAACUGCAUUUGAAACUGUUGAUCUUUAGUACUGGCGCGGCAGACGGAAUUCCGAGUGUAGCGGUGAAAUGCGUAGAUAUUAGGAGGAACACCAGUGGCGAAGGCGGUCUGCGGGACAGCAACUGACGGUGAGGCGCGAAAGCGUGGGGAGCAAACAGGAUUAGAUACCCUGGUAGUC